GCGGUAAUACAGAGGGUGCAAGCGUUAAUCGGAAUUACUGGGCGUAAAGCGCGCGUAGGUGGUUCGUUAAGUUGGAUGUGAAAUCCCCGGGCUCAACCUGGGAACUGCAUUCAAAACUGACGAGCUAGAGUAUGGUAGAGGGUGGUGGAAUUUCCUGUGUAGCGGUGAAAUGCGUAGAUAUAGGAAGGAACACCAGUGGCGAAGGCGACCACCUGGACUGAUACUGACACUGAGGUGCGAAAGCGUGGGGAGCAAACAGGAUUA
Molecule: ribosomal RNA, 264 nt
Filed under: Pseudomonas lini
Lineage: Bacteria; Pseudomonadati; Pseudomonadota; Gammaproteobacteria; Pseudomonadales; Pseudomonadaceae
Also listed under: 1 other name
Description: partial 16S ribosomal RNA
Rfam family: Bacterial small subunit ribosomal RNA
Source: RNAcentral